Molecule: long non-coding RNA, 173 nt
Organism: Dermochelys coriacea (leatherback sea turtle)
Lineage: Eukaryota; Metazoa; Chordata; Testudines; Dermochelyidae
Exons: 3
Source: RefSeq, a predicted model, not a curated record
AUCACUUGGAAGUAACAGAGGAGGAGAAGAACCUUGGAGUAUUGGUUGAUCACAGGAUGACUAUGAGCCGCCAAUUUGAUAUGGCCGUGAAAAAAGCUAAUGCAGUCUUGGGAUGCAUCAGGCUAGGUACUUCCGGUAAAGAUAAGGAGGUGCUAGUGCACAAUUUAUAUACA